AUACGGAGGGGGCUAGCGUUGUUCGGAAUUACUGGGCGUAAAGCGCACGUAGGCGGAUUAAAAAGUUAGAGGUGAAAUCCCAGGGCUUAACCCUGGAACUGCCUUUAAAACUAGUAGUCUAGAGUUCGAGAGAGGUGAGUGGAAUUCCAAGUGUAGAGGUGAAAUUCGUAGAUAUUUGGAGGAACACCAGUGGCGAAGGCGGCUAACUGGCUCGAUACUGACGCUGAGGUGCGAAAGCGUGGGGAGCAAACAGGAUUAGAAACCCCAGUAGUCC
RNAcentral lists this ribosomal RNA (274 nucleotides) under uncultured bacterium. Its description in RNAcentral is "partial 16S ribosomal RNA". It matches the Rfam family "Bacterial small subunit ribosomal RNA", at positions 523 to 796 of the family's 1533-position model. The record is from RNAcentral.